CGGCUUAUAGUUUAAUUGGUAAAACACACUGCUCAUAACAGUGCAUAUGUGGGUUCAAGUCCCACUGAGCCAA
Micromonas sp. is the source of this 73-nucleotide transfer RNA. It matches the Rfam family "tRNA". Rfam says of the family: Transfer RNA (tRNA) molecules are approximately 80 nucleotides in length. Their secondary structure includes four short double-helical elements and three loops (D, anti-codon, and T loops). The record is from Rfam. Lineage: Eukaryota; Viridiplantae; Chlorophyta; Mamiellophyceae; Mamiellales; Mamiellaceae.